RNAcentral lists this long non-coding RNA (4692 nucleotides) under Capsicum annuum. RNAcentral's name for it is "long non-coding RNA (CANN_LNC013151)". Lineage: Eukaryota; Viridiplantae; Streptophyta; Magnoliopsida; Solanales; Solanaceae. The record is from RNAcentral.
UACACAUCCACUAUCAAACCGUUAAAAAAAUUAUAAAAUAUAAUAAAUUAUUACAUUUAACCUAUUUUGGUAACUUAUUGACCUAUUUUAGUCACUUUAUUCAAUUUGGGCUCUUAAGCCCAAAUCCAUCAUCUUGUCUGAUUGAGCUUCUGGCCCAAUUUCACUUGUCCUAAUCUAGAUAUUGGGCUUUGGCCCAUAACCUGUCUUAAACUAUUUUUUCGGACCUUUCGACCCAUAUUCGGCUUCACCUGUAUUAAAUUUACAACUUUGGCUUCGAGGCCUAAAAUGAAUGAAUAAAUAGAUAAAUGGAUAAAUAAAUAAGUAAAAAAAUAAAUAAAGAAAUAAUAAAAUUUUUCAUCAAAUGGAAUUUGAUUCAUCUUUCUUCGUCUUCCAUCGUCUUGUAUUCAUAUGUCGUGUAUCCGCCCUUUGGAUUCAAAUUUAACCUUCAGGAAGAAUGGGCCUUAUUGGCCCAUUACAGGAAUGCAUAAGGAAAGAAAUCCGUUUGAAUCCCAAACGGAUUAUCACAUGUAAAGAAAAAAAAAUAUAGGAUUAGCAAUAACCAAAUAUUAGCCCAAAAUUUGCAAGUAUAUUAUGGAAUACAAUUUCACGCAGUAAAAUCAAGGAUACAACUACAGUUCGCAUAAGGUGAGAUUGUUUGAGAGUGCCGUCCUUUUCCACAAUUUUAUGGUAGUGCCAAGAUUUGUAUACUAAACUCCUUGCAGUAUAUUGAUUUGUUAGUGCAUUAUCAACCAAAAGUUCUCCACAUUUGUGUUUAAUGGAUGAGUUUGGAUUAUGGUUCACACAUUCUGUGAAAUUAUACAACUGCUACUAUAAACUACAACAACAUAAUGCAAUAGUAAUCACAAAGCUUCAAUUUUGAUGAAAAUAAUUCUUGUCCGAGCAAAAGUUUUGACACUAAAGAAUGACAUGAAUGAAAACAAUAUAUAUAUAUGUUGAAUUCUAUUAUGCUGACAAAAAUAGUGAAGAAGUUGAGGGUUAGAAAAUUAAAUAUCCGUCAAUCUAGACAUGCAACCGAAUCAAGUUAGAUGAGCAUCAAUCAUAAUUUUCACAAUAAGUAAACCAGUUUCUUCUCUAGUUUAACUUGCAUUUCAAUAUUUAUAAAAAUAUUUCUUUAAUAGAGUUCUAUUUAGGAGUAUUUUUUAUCCUAUUUUAAGAGUAUUUUUCUAAUUGAUCAUUACAAAGAAAAAUAUUAAUUAAUUCUUCUUCAAUAUAUUUUAGAAGUCCGAUAUAUUUUAUGAGACUAAUUAAUAUAAUAAAAAUAAUUAAAUAAUAAAUUAAAGAAAAUAGUAAAUAGACAGCUUUGUCUAAAAAAGAUCUUUUAAUGAAGGAUAAAACGUUUAAAUUACUUUUCUAAGAGCCUUCACACUUUUAGAGUGUAUGGUAUGAUGGAAAAUAUUUUUCAUGAAAAAUAAGUUGUUGUUUCACUUAUUUUCUUACGUUUGAUUGAUGAGUGAAAAAUAUUUUUCAAAAAAUAUUUUAUAGUGUUUGAUUGGAGAACAGAAAAUAUAUGUUUUUCUACCUAAAUUUUAACUUUACAUGAGAGUGUGCCCCUCUAAUUAAAAGUAUAAUAUAUUUUCUAAAAUAUAAUAUUUAACUACACAUUUUUAAUCAUUAGGUCAAUUUGUAUGAGAUGUGACAUCAACAAUUAUACAUUCAUCUGACCAAAUUUAAAAAAUAAUGUCAUUUUUUAUUACGUAUUAAUAAAAUAAAUUUAUAAUUGCUAUUUUUUAUUUUUUUAUUUAUUAAAAAGUAACUUCUUAAUAGGAUUUUAUGAAAGGAAAAGUAAAAAAGAAUGAGCUAGGUGGUACUUGACAAAACGAAGCAAUAACUUUUUUUAAAAAAUUUUUUUGGUAAGAAACAUAAUAAAAAGUUCUAACUUAUAAAAGUUAAAAAAGUUAUAAAAUUUCAAUUUAUAAUUUUUUUUUAAAAACUCAAUAUACUAUCACAUCACUUAUUUAUGUCAAAUUAUGUAAACUUAAUAAAUUAUUACGUUUUACAAAAAAAAUUUUGUAAACCAUAAUAAAUUACUACGUUUUAUAAAAAGUUUUUGUAAAACGUAAUAAAUUAUUAUUACAUUUUACUAAAACUUUUUUACUGUACACAUCCACUAUCAAACCGUUAAAAAAAUUAUAAAAUAUAAUAAAUUAUUACAUUUAACCUAUUUUGGUAACUUAUUGACCUAUUUUAGUCACUUUAUUCAAUUUGGGCUCUUAAGCCCAAAUCCAUCAUCUUGUCUGAUUGAGCUUCUGGCCCAAUUUCACUUGUCCUAAUCUAGAUAUUGGGCUUUGGCCCAUAACCUGUCUUAAACUAUUUUUUCGGACCUUUCGACCCAUAUUCGGCUUCACCUGUAUUAAAUUUACAACUUUGGCUUCGAGGCCUAAAAUGAAUGAAUAAAUAGAUAAAUGGAUAAAUAAAUAAGUAAAAAAAUAAAUAAAGAAAUAAUAAAAUUUUUCAUCAAAUGGAAUUUGAUUCAUCUUUCUUCGUCUUCCAUCGUCUUGUAUUCAUAUGUCGUGUAUCCGCCCUUUGGAUUCAAAUUUAACCUUCAGGAAGAAUGGGCCUUAUUGGCCCAUUACAGGAAUGCAUAAGGAAAGAAAUCCGUUUGAAUCCCAAACGGAUUAUCACAUGUAAAGAAAAAAAAAUAUAGGAUUAGCAAUAACCAAAUAUUAGCCCAAAAUUUGCAAGUAUAUUAUGGAAUACAAUUUCACGCAGUAAAAUCAAGGAUACAACUACAGUUCGCAUAAGGUGAGAUUGUUUGAGAGUGCCGUCCUUUUCCACAAUUUUAUGGUAGUGCCAAGAUUUGUAUACUAAACUCCUUGCAGUAUAUUGAUUUGUUAGUGCAUUAUCAACCAAAAGUUCUCCACAUUUGUGUUUAAUGGAUGAGUUUGGAUUAUGGUUCACACAUUCUGUGAAAUUAUACAACUGCUACUGUAGGUGAGUCUAUCUUUAGUCAAGAGACUCAACACGUAGGAAGACAUAGUCUGAUCACUCAUAGCAGAGAAUAUUGACAGGUAAGGUUCAUCUUUUGAUCUUCAAAUUUUGAAGAUAAAGGUUUAAAUAUGAUGUAACCACAAGAAAAAUAUGAAUCACGUGCCUAUUACUAUGAGGGACUUAAAGAUCGACUUCCUGGAAAAAGUUGCAAAACCAAACAGCAAAAUCAAGAAACAUUGUUCUUGACUUUUGUAAAUGGAUGUGCGUGUGUGCGCGGUUCAACCAUGGUAAUACUACUACCAUCUCACAAUAACAGUCUGAGCUACUACUGGGAUUAACCCAUCCGCCUCCAUGAGAAAGAGAACAAAUAUUGUUUUAUUAAACACGAAUUUGACAAUUAAUUCUUUGCGCAAUGUAGUUUAUAGAUAACAAGAUGGUCUAUCAACACUAUUACAUAAUCUACAUCAAGCAUGUGUGAAAGAGAGUCAAUAUUGAACACGUCGAAUAAUAAUGAUGAAAUACUAUACGUUUUUGGUGAGAGGGUCCAUCGUGUAUUCUUGGAUUUAAUAUAUAACAAACCGUUAGACUUGUUUUAUAAGCAAAAAUGAUGUCACAAAUAAUUUACGUCGAACCACAAGUUUGGUUGGUUGUUUAGUUAGUUAGCAAAGGUGAUGAAAAUAAUUUAAUCCAAGAUUUUACAAUUUUCUUUCAACCCUAAGACUCAAGACAAACACGAAUCAUUAGCAAUACUUAUUCCAAUCGCAAUUACAACCCUUAUCAAGCAUCUUUGGAAACUCUAAAAAAAUGAACCAGUAAAAAACCUUAAGCAUGCAGGCGUUAAUACUUGAACUAAUUCAUGGAAGUGAAUAAGAAGUUCGAAAUCAACCAAAACAAAGAUGAGCAAAUCAAAAAAUAUUUUUUCAUAGUAGUUAUCAGAGGAGGAGUAAGGAGUGUAGACCUAGAAUUAAGUGGGGCGGCUUGACGCCAGUGAAUGCGUGGGAGAUAGGGGAGAAGUUGGCGGGAAUGGGGGUGUGGGAGUGUAGGGGGGACGUGGAUAGUAUGUGGGAUAGGGCGGCUAGGUGCAUCAGGGAGAAUGCAAGUGAGGUGUUGGGUGUUUCUAGGGGCCGGGCCGGUCACCAUCGGGGGGAGUGGUGAUGGAAUGAAGAGGUGGAGAAGAAAGUGGGGACCAAGAAAGGGGCGUAUGCUAAAUUGGUUGAGAGUAAGGACGAAGAAGAGAAGCGGGUAAACAGGAAAGAGUACAAGCUAGCUAGGAAGGAGGCUAAGUCAGCAGUCACGGCAGCUAAGACGGCCGCUUUUGAGAGCUUGUAUGCAGGGUUCAGGGGAAAGGAGGGGAGAAAAAGUUGUUUAGACUCGCUAAGGCUAGGGAGAGGAAGGGUCGUGACCUCGAUCAGGUGAGGUGCAUUAAGGGGGAGGACGGUAGAGUGUUGGUGGAGGACGGCCACAUAAAGAAGAGAUGACAGUCGUACUUUCAUAGGCUCUUGAAUGACGAGGGGGACAGAGCUAUUGUGUUAGGGGAACUGGAGCACUCAGGGGAGUGUCGGGAUUUUAGCUAUUGUAGACGUUUUAAGGUAGACGAGGUUAGACAGGCAGUCCGCAGGAUGCGAAGGGGUAGGGCGACGGGGCCGGAUGAGAUACCGGUGGAGUUUUGGAAGUUCGUUGGAGAGGCUGGUGUAAGGUGGUUGACUGCAUUGUUCAAUGAAAUUUUCAGGACAGCAAAGAUGC